CCCUAGCCCAGAUAGAAACGGGUACCCCGCAACAUUGGGUUGGAGAGAGAAAGGGUUUGAGCGCUGGAGUGCGCCGGCGUGAGGAGUAUGAGUGGAUAGCUGGAUUAAGC
RNAcentral lists this unclassified non-coding RNA (110 nucleotides) under Chryseobacterium polytrichastri. RNAcentral's name for it is "Flavo-1 RNA". Lineage: Bacteria; Pseudomonadati; Bacteroidota; Flavobacteriia; Flavobacteriales; Weeksellaceae. The record is from RNAcentral.